Molecule: regulatory RNA element, 79 nt
Organism: Bacillus sp. 1NLA3E
Lineage: Bacteria; Bacillati; Bacillota; Bacilli; Caryophanales; Bacillaceae
Rfam family: ZMP/ZTP riboswitch aptamer (pfl RNA motif)
About the family: Previously known as pfl RNA. ZMP is also known as AICAR.
Source: Rfam
AAGUCUAUGUGUAACUGGCGAAACGCGGAUAACCGUGAGGGAGCACAUAGUGACGUAGCCGUUCGCCUGGGCAGAGGUA